UUUUACCCUCUGAAUUUAAGCAUAUCAAUAAGCGGAGGAAAAGAAACCAACAGGGAUUGCUCUAAUAACGGAGAGUGAACAAGCAAAAGCUCAGUUUUGAAAGCCUGUUNUGCAGGCAUUGUAUUCUGAAGCCUAGAUUCUGGGAAACGGUGUUUAAGUCUUCUGGAAAGGAGCGCCRCGGAGGGUGAUAGCCCCGUACGGCACUGACCCCAUUGUAGUUUCUAGGCGNGGAGUCGAGUUGUUUGGGANUNCANNUCAAAUGGGAGGUAUGCUCCUUCUAAAGCUAAAUAUGUGCGAGAGACCG
Molecule: ribosomal RNA, 304 nt
Filed under: Simulium damnosum complex sp. SD19
Lineage: Eukaryota; Metazoa; Arthropoda; Insecta; Diptera; Simuliidae
Description: partial 28S ribosomal RNA
Rfam family: Eukaryotic large subunit ribosomal RNA
Source: RNAcentral